AUGUCGUUGGCGUCUUCCAUCAUGUCCUCGAGCUGGUCUUGAAUAUCCUAAGUAUUUAAAAAGGAGUUAAAAUGUGGCAAAGAGAAAAUAUUUGGAUGAGCUUCGGAGCAACAUGCCUUCUUUUCUCCGGAGGACCUGUCUCCUGAGUGCAUCCGAGAUCAAAAUGCAGGCGCUGAGGAGAACUCUGACAUGCACCAGAUGGCCUAAAGGUCACCAUAAAAGACUAAAGGGUUGGUGCCAGUGGCUUAUUGACAAGCAACAUUUACAGAAGCUGUGAAUAAACACAUACUGCUGGCUGGU
Thunnus maccoyii (southern bluefin tuna) is the source of this 300-nucleotide long non-coding RNA. RefSeq lists it as uncharacterized. The record is from RefSeq and is a predicted model, not a curated record. The transcript has 2 exons. Lineage: Eukaryota; Metazoa; Chordata; Actinopteri; Scombriformes; Scombridae.